GGAUGCUUCGGGCGAAGAGGGCCGCCCCCGGCCCGGGUCACCCGGGGCCCGGGGUACGACGGGCGGAGAGGGGCGGCUGCUGGCCAGGUGAUGCCGAAGCGCUCCCUCCAGCCCCGCGGUCCGCACCACGGCCGACGUUGCCUGUCAGAUCGCUCCUGAGAUUCUUCCGAGCCCCUUCGAUGCGGUGCAGUUGACAUUUCCUACGUGUCGCUCCCUCUCCGUUGUGCACACUUGAGAAAGCCCAGUCUGGAGGAACCCCACCAUUCUCCAUCGUGAAUGCUGCAGAAACACCACAGACCUGUGCUGGCUGGCUUCACUUUAAACUUAGAAGGAGCACUUCACACUCCUUGGCAAUCCUGUGAUUCUUCUCCCAAGGGGGACAUGGGUUUGAACCCUGGUCCGGGAAGAUCCCACAUGCCGCGGAGCAACGAAGCCCGUGUGCCACAACCACUGAGCCUGCUAGAGCCCGCGAGCCACAACUACUGAGCCCGUGAGCUACAACUACCGAAGCCUGUGUGCCUAGAGCCGGUGCUCUGCAACAAGAGAAGCCACAGCAAUGAGAAGCCCACACACCGCAACGAAGAGUAGCCCCUGCCGGCCACAACUAGAGAAAGCCUGUGGGCAUCAACGA
Molecule: long non-coding RNA, 631 nt
Organism: Mesoplodon densirostris (Blainville's beaked whale)
Lineage: Eukaryota; Metazoa; Chordata; Mammalia; Artiodactyla; Ziphiidae
Exons: 3
Source: RefSeq, a predicted model, not a curated record